Miniopterus natalensis is the source of this 306-nucleotide long non-coding RNA. RefSeq lists it as uncharacterized. The record is from RefSeq and is a predicted model, not a curated record. NCBI's taxonomy places the organism in Eukaryota, Metazoa, Chordata, Mammalia, Chiroptera, Miniopteridae.
GACCAGGAAUCAACUGGCAACCCUUUGGUGCACUGAUUGACGCCCAACCAAGCCACAUGGGCCAGGGCUGUAAAGUUUGUUGCCCUCCAGAAGAAUAUAUACCUACUGAGAAGAUAGAAGACUUACUUUCAUCAUCUGAAUCAAAUCCAAAGAGUGCCUGACAUUUCUUUUGUGCAAGCCCAGUACAUACAACUAUUAAAUCUAAGGGUGGACUGGCUACUGUCAUGAAGAUAUGCACAGUCUGCCCAACCAGGCAUGGCUCAGCGGUUGAGCAUCAACCUAGAAUCCAGGAGAUCAUGGUUCGAU